UGCCUCGGCGGAUCAGCCCGCUCCCGGUAAAACGGGACGGCCCGCCAGAGGACCCCUAAACUCUGUUUCUAUAUGUAACUUCUGAGUAAAACCAUAAAUAAAUCAAAACUUUCAACAACGGAUCUCUUGGUUCUGGCAUCGAUGAAGAACGCAGCAAAAUGCGAUAAGUAAUGUGAAUUGCAGAAUUCAGUGAAUCAUCGAAUCUUUGAACGCACAUUGCGCCCGCCAGUAUUCUGGCGGGCAUGCCUGUUCGAGCGUCAUUUCAACCCUCAAGCACAGCUUGGUGUUGGGACUCGCGUUAAUUCGCGUUCCUCAAAUUGAUUGGCGGUCACGUCGAGCUUCCAUAGCGUAGUAGUAAAACCCUCGUUACUGGUAAUCGUCGCGGCCACGCCGUUAAACCCCAACUUCUGAAUGUUGACCUCGGAUCAGGUAGGAAUACCCGCUGAACUUAAGCAUAUCAAUAAGCGGAGG
This 471-nucleotide ribosomal RNA is filed under the name uncultured fungus. RNAcentral describes it as "eukaryotic LSU rRNA". The stretch from base 107 to 260 matches the Rfam family "5.8S ribosomal RNA". Lineage: Eukaryota; Fungi. The record is from RNAcentral.